GAUGAACGCUGGCGGCGUGCUUAACACAUGCAAGUCGAGCGAAGCACUUUACUUGGAUUUCUUCGGAAUGACGAGUAUUGUGACUGAGCGGCGGACGGGUGAGUAACGCGUGGGUAACCUGCCUCAUACGGGGGGAUAACAGUUAGAAAUGACUGCUAAUACCGCAUAAGACCACAGUACCGCAUGGUGCAGAGGUAAAAACUCCGGUGGUAUGAGAUGGACCCGCGUCUGAUUAGCUGGUUGGUGGGGUAACGGCCUACCAAGGCGACGAUCAGUAGCCGGCCUGAGAGGGCGACCGGCCACAUUGGGACUGAGACACGGCCCAAACUCCUACGGGAGGCAGCAGUGGGGAAUAUUGCACAAUGGGGGAAACCCUGAUGCAGCGACGCCGCGUGAAGGAAGAAGUAUUUCGGUAUGUAAACUUCUAUCAGCAGGGAAGAAAAUGACGGUACCUGACUAAGAAGCCCCGGCUAACUACGUGCCAGCCGCCGCAGUAA
This 497-nucleotide ribosomal RNA is filed under the name uncultured bacterium. RNAcentral describes it as "partial 16S ribosomal RNA". It matches the Rfam family "Bacterial small subunit ribosomal RNA", at positions 28 to 523 of the family's 1533-position model. The record is from RNAcentral.